Molecule: ribosomal RNA, 1301 nt
Filed under: Apilactobacillus kunkeei
Lineage: Bacteria; Bacillati; Bacillota; Bacilli; Lactobacillales; Lactobacillaceae
Description: bacterial SSU rRNA
Rfam family: Bacterial small subunit ribosomal RNA
Source: RNAcentral
AAGCGGGGGAUAACAUUUGGAAACAAGUGCUAAUACCGCAUAAUUAGUUGGAACCGCAUGGUUCCAACUUGAAAGAUGGCUCUGCUAUCACUUUGGGAUGGACCCGCGCCGUAUUAGUUAGUUGGUGAGAUAAAAGCCCACCAAGACGAUGAUACGUAGCCGACCUGAGAGGGUAAUCGGCCACAUUGGGACUGAGACACGGCCCAGACUCCUACGGGAGGCAGCAGUAGGGAAUCUUCCACAAUGGACGAAAGUCUGAUGGAGCAACGCCGCGUGAGUGAUGAAGGUUUUCGGAUCGUAAAACUCUGUUGUUAAAGAAGAACAAGUGUUAGAGUAACUGUUAACACUUUGACGGUAUUUAACCAGAAAGCCACGGCUAACUACGUGCCAGCAGCCGCGGUAAUACGUAGGUGGCAAGCGUUGUCCGGAUUUAUUGGGCGUAAAGCGAGCGCAGGCGGUUUUGUAAGUCUGCUGUGAAAGCCCUCAGCUCAACUGAGGAAGUGCAGUGGAAACUACAAAACUUGAGUACAGAAGAGGAAAGUGGAACUCCAUGUGUAGCGGUGAAAUGCGUAGAUAUAUGGAAGAACACCAGUGGCGAAGGCGGCUUUCUGGUCUGUUACUGACGCUGAGGCUCGAAAGCAUGGGUAGCGAACAGGAUUAGAUACCCUGGUAGUCCAUGCCGUAAACGAUGAAUACUAGGUGUUGGAGGGUUUCCGCCCUUCAGUGCCGCAGCUAACGCAUUAAGUAUUCCGCCUGGGGAGUACGACCGCAAGGUUGAAACUCAAAGGAAUUGACGGGGGCCCGCACAAGUGGUGGAGCAUGUGGUUUAAUUCGAUGCUACGCGAAGAACCUUACCAGCUCUUGACAUCUUCUGCCAACCCAAGAGAUUGGGCGUUCCCUUCGGGGACAGAAUGACAGGUGGUGCAUGGUUGUCGUCAGCUCGUGUCGUGAGAUGUUGGGUUAAGUCCCGCAACGAGCGCAACCCUUAUUAUUAGUUGCCAGCAUUUAGUUGGGCACUCUAGUGAGACUGCCGGUGAUAAACCGGAGGAAGGUGGGGACGACGUCAAAUCAUCAUGCCCCUUAUGAGCUGGGCUACACACGUGCUACAAUGGAUGGUACAACGAGUCGCGAAACCGCGAGGUCAAGCUAAUCUCUUAAAGCCAUUCUCAGUUCGGAUUGCAGGCUGCAACUCGCCUGCAUGAAGUUGGAAUCACUAGUAAUCGUGGAUCAGCAUGCCACGGUGAAUACGUUCCCGGGCCUUGUACACACCGCCCGUCACACCAUGAGAGUUUGUAACACCC